Molecule: ribosomal RNA, 455 nt
Filed under: uncultured bacterium
Lineage: Bacteria
Description: bacterial SSU rRNA
Rfam family: Bacterial small subunit ribosomal RNA
Source: RNAcentral
UACGGAAGGCAGCAGGGGGAAUAUUGCACAAUGGGCGCAAGCCUGAUGCAGCCAUGCCGCGUGUAUGAAGAAGGCCUUCGGGUUGUAAAGUACUUUCAGUCGUGAGGAAGGUGUUAAGGUUAAUAACCUUAGCAAUUGACGUUAGCGACAGAAGAAGCACCGGCUAACUCCGUGCCAGCAGCCGCGGUAAUACGGAGAGGGCUAGCGUUAUUCGGAAUUAUUGGGCGUAAAGAGCGCGUAGGCUGAUUAGUAAGUUAAAAGUGAAAUCCCAAAGCUUAACUUUGGAAUUGCUUUUUAAAACUGCUAGUCUAGAGAUUGAAAGAGGAUAGAGGAAUUCCUAGUGUAGAGGUGAAAUUCGUAAAUAUUAGGAGAACACAGUGGCGAAGGCGUCUAUCUGGUUCAAAUCUGACGCUGAGGCGCGAAGGCGUGGGGAGCAAACGAGGGAUUAGACUACC